GACGACGCUGGCGGCGUGGAUUAGGCAUGCAAGUCGAACGGUAUCAUCCUUUCGGGGGUGAGAGAGUGGACGAACUGGUGAGUAACACGUAGGUUAUCUACCCUCAAGACGGGGACAACCCAGGGAAACUUGGGCUAAUACCGGAUGUGAGCAACUUUUAGUUGUUUGAAAGGUGGCGUAAGCUGUCGCUUGGGGAUGAGCCUGCGUCCUAUUAGUUAGGUUGGUGGGGUAACGGCUCACCUAGGCAAUGAUAGGUAGGCGGCCUUAACGGGUGGUCGCCCACACUGGGAUUGAGAUACGGCCCAGACUCCUACGGGAGGCAGCAGUCGAGAAUAGUCUACAAUGGUCGGAAGACUGAUAGUGCGACGCCGCGUGAACGAUGAAUCCCUUCGGGGUGUAAAGUUCUUUUAUAUGUGAGCAGUGCUUCUUAUAUUAACAGUAUGGGGAGAGAGAUAUUAGCAUAUGAAUAAGCAACGGCUAACUCCGUG
RNAcentral lists this ribosomal RNA (488 nucleotides) under uncultured bacterium. Its description in RNAcentral is "bacterial SSU rRNA". It matches the Rfam family "Bacterial small subunit ribosomal RNA", at positions 33 to 507 of the family's 1533-position model. The record is from RNAcentral.